GCGGGAUUAGUUGAGCGGUUCAACACCACCCUUCCAAGGUGAAGAGAUGGGUUCGACUCCCAUAUCCCGCU
This 71-nucleotide transfer RNA is filed under the name Candidatus Shapirobacteria bacterium. Its description in RNAcentral is "tRNA-Gly". It matches the Rfam family "tRNA". Rfam says of the family: Transfer RNA (tRNA) molecules are approximately 80 nucleotides in length. Their secondary structure includes four short double-helical elements and three loops (D, anti-codon, and T loops). RNAcentral also lists the same sequence under 1 other name. The record is from RNAcentral. Lineage: Bacteria; Candidatus Shapironibacteriota.